RNAcentral lists this ribosomal RNA (671 nucleotides) under Lactiplantibacillus plantarum. RNAcentral describes it as "bacterial SSU rRNA". It matches the Rfam family "Bacterial small subunit ribosomal RNA", at positions 1 to 636 of the family's 1533-position model. Lineage: Bacteria; Bacillati; Bacillota; Bacilli; Lactobacillales; Lactobacillaceae. The record is from RNAcentral.
UUAAUUUGAGAGUUUGAUCCUGGCUCAGGACGAACGCUGGCGGCGUGCCUAAUACAUGCAAGUCGAACGAACUCUGGUAUUGAUUGGUGCUUGCAUCAUGAUUUACAUUUGAGUGAGUGGCGAACUGGUGAGUAACACGUGGGAAACCUGCCCAGAAGCGGGGGAUAACACCUGGAAACAGAUGCUAAUACCGCAUAACAACUUGGACCGCAUGGUCCGAGCUUGAAAGAUGGCUUCGGCUAUCACUUUUGGAUGGUCCCGCGGCGUAUUAGCUAGAUGGUGGGGUAACGGCUCACCAUGGCAAUGAUACGUAGCCGACCUGAGAGGGUAAUCGGCCACAUUGGGACUGAGACACGGCCCAAACUCCUACGGGAGGCAGCAGUAGGGAAUCUUCCACAAUGGACGAAAGUCUGAUGGAGCAACGCCGCGUGAGUGAAGAAGGGUUUCGGCUCGUAAAACUCUGUUGUUAAAGAAGAACAUAUCUGAGAGUAACUGUUCAGGUAUUGACGGUAUUUAACCAGAAAGCCACGGCUAACUACGUGCCAGCAGCCGCGGUAAUACGUAGGUGGCAAGCGUUGUCCGGAUUUAUUGGGCGUAAAGCGAGCGCAGGCGGUUUUUUAAGUCUGAUGUGAAAGCCUUCGGCUCAACCGAAGAAGUGCAUCGGAAACUGG